This 449-nucleotide ribosomal RNA is filed under the name uncultured bacterium. RNAcentral describes it as "partial 16S ribosomal RNA". It matches the Rfam family "Bacterial small subunit ribosomal RNA", at positions 338 to 795 of the family's 1533-position model. The record is from RNAcentral.
CCUACGGGUGGCUGCAGUGGGGAAUAUUGGACAAUGGGGGCAACCCUGAUCCAGCCAUGCCGCGUGUGUGAAGAAGGCCUUCGGGUUGUAAAGCACUUUAAGUGGGGAGGAAGGCUCGCUGGUUAAUAGUCAGCGGGAGUGACGUUACCCACAGAAUAAGCACCGGCAAACUCCGUGCCAGCAGCCGCGGUAAUACGGAGGGUGCGAGCGUGAAUCGGAAUUACGUGGCGGAUAGCGCACGUAGGCGGUUAGAGCCCUGGGCUCAACCUGGGAGCUGCAUUCGAUACUGGCAGACUUGAAUACGGUAGAGGGGGGUGGAAUUCCAGGUGUAGCGGUGAAAUGCGUAGAGAUCUGGAGGAACACCAGUGGCGAAGGCGGCCCCCUGGACCGAUAUUGACGCUGAGGUGCGAAAGCGUGGGGAGCAAACAGGAUUAGAUACCCGAGUAGUC